GAUGAACGCUGGCGGCGUGCCUAAUACAUGCAAGUCGAGCGAACAGAUGAGGAUCUUGCUCCUCUGACGUUAGCGGCGGACGGGUGAGUAACACGUGGAUAACCUACCUAUAAGACUGGGAUAACUUCGGGAAACCGGAACCAAUACCGGAUAAUCUAUUGAACCGCAUGGUUCAAUAGUGAAAGACGGAUUUGCUGUUACUUAUUGAUGGUUACGCGCCGCAGUAGCUAGUUGGUAGGGUAACGGGUUACUAAGAAAACGAUGCGUGGCAGGCCUGAGAGGGUGGUCGGCCACACUGGAACUGGGACACGGUCCAGACUCCAGCGGGAGGCAGCAGUAGGGAAUCGUCCGUAUUGGGCGAAGGCCUGACGGAGCAACGCCGGGUGAGUGAUGAAGGUCUUCGGAUCGUAAAUCGCUGUUAUUAGUGAAGAACAAAUAUGUAAGUAACUAGGCACGUCUUGACGGUACCUAAUCGGAGAGGCACGGGUAACUACGGG
Molecule: ribosomal RNA, 497 nt
Filed under: uncultured bacterium
Lineage: Bacteria
Description: partial 16S ribosomal RNA
Rfam family: Bacterial small subunit ribosomal RNA
Source: RNAcentral